AAGUCGUAACAAGGUUUCCGUAGGUGAACCUGCGGAAGGAUCAUUAACACGUGAUACUCACGUAUUAAUACAACCACCGAGAAUCUGUUAUAUAUGCCCUAUUGUUAGUUGGAAGUAGACAUACUGAGAAAUUGCUAUGGGCCGCCUUAACUGUACGCCCUGACUCACUUGUCGUUCUUAGGUCCGCCCUGGAGCAACUGCUAACAAAUAGAUGAUGAAUUACGGCUGCAGUACGCUGGUAGCAAGGCUUGCACGUCGUGGUGAAACUAUUAACCCCUUUUUUACUAUUAUUUACUGAUUUUGUAUGUUUGUAUGAAUUCCUGGACUGGUUAAACAGUUUGGUUGAGUUUAUAUAGAUGUCGUAUAAUACUAAUACGAAACAACUCUUAGCAACGGAUAUCUUGGUUCUC
RNAcentral lists this unclassified non-coding RNA (410 nucleotides) under fungal sp. Its description in RNAcentral is "partial internal transcribed spacer region". The stretch from base 1 to 46 matches the Rfam family "Eukaryotic small subunit ribosomal RNA", at positions 1786 to 1831 of the family's 1831-position model. The record is from RNAcentral. Lineage: Eukaryota; Fungi.